GUGGGGAAUUUUGGACAAUGGGGGCAACCCUGAUCCAGCCAUUCCGCGUGAGUGAAGAAGGCCUUCGGGUUGUAAAGCUCUUUCAGCAGGAACGAAACGGUGGCUACUAAUACUAGCUACUAAUGACGGUACCUGAAGAAGAAGCACCGGCUAACUACGUGCCAGCAGCCGCGGUAAUACGUAGGGUGCGAGCGUUAAUCGGAAUUACUGGGCGUAAAGCGUGCGCAGGCGGUUCCAUAAGACAGAUGUGAAAUCCCCGGGCUUAACCUGGGAACUGCGUUUGUGACUGUGGGACUGGAGUGUGGCAGAGGGGGGUGGAAUUCCACGUGUAGCAGUGAAAUGCGUAGAGAUGUGGAGGAACACCGAUGGCGAAGGCAGCCCCCUGGGUCAACACUGACGCUCAUGCACGAAAGCGUGGGGAGCAAACAGGAUUAGAUACCCGGGUAGUCC
Molecule: ribosomal RNA, 450 nt
Filed under: uncultured bacterium
Lineage: Bacteria
Description: bacterial SSU rRNA
Rfam family: Bacterial small subunit ribosomal RNA
Source: RNAcentral